AGGCGGUUGCAGGUGGAGUGGUGUCUAAACGAUUCUUGGGAACUAUGGAUGAGUCUUCAGACUGCUGAAUGAACAAAGACGCUUGAAGUGCCUGGAGGAGAGACGAGAACUGCAGCGUAUGAAACAAACAUUUGACUGCUGAAUGACCAAAGACACAUGAAGGGCCUGGAGGAGACGAGAACGGGAACACAUGGAACAAACAUUUGAUGAGGGCAGAGUUUCCAGACCUGACCUGAAGAAGAAGACGACGACGGAGUUCCUUUUCUUCUUCAUCCUCCCCCUCUUCUUCCAC
This is a long non-coding RNA of Anoplopoma fimbria (sablefish), 292 nucleotides long. RefSeq lists it as uncharacterized. The transcript has 4 exons. The record is from RefSeq and is a predicted model, not a curated record. NCBI's taxonomy places the organism in Eukaryota, Metazoa, Chordata, Actinopteri, Perciformes, Anoplopomatidae.